This 614-nucleotide ribosomal RNA is filed under the name uncultured bacterium. RNAcentral's name for it is "bacterial SSU rRNA". It matches the Rfam family "Bacterial small subunit ribosomal RNA", at positions 331 to 935 of the family's 1533-position model. The record is from RNAcentral.
CCAGACUCCUACGGGAGGCAGCAGUGGGGAAUCUUCCGCAAUGGACGAAAGUCUGACGGAGCAACGCCGCGUGAGUGAUGACGGCCUUCGGGUUGUAAAGCUCUGUUAAUCGGGACGAAAGGCCUUCUUGCGAAUAGUGAGAAGGAUUGACGGUACCGGAAUAGAAAGCCACGGCUAACUACGUGCCAGCAGCCGCGGUAAUACGUAGGUGGCAAGCGUUGUCCGGAAUUAUUGGGCGUAAAGCGCGCGCAGGCGGAUAGGUCAGUCUGUCUUAAAAGUUCGGGGCUUAACCCCGUGAUGGGAUGGAAACUGCCAAUCUAGAGUAUCGGAGAGGAAAGUGGAAUUCCUAGUGUAGCGGUGAAAUGCGUAGAUAUUAGGAAGAACACCAGUGGCGAAGGCGACUUUCUGGACGAAAACUGACGCUGAGGCGCGAAAGCCAGGGGAGCGAACGGGAUUAGAUACCCCGGUAGUCCUGGCCGUAAACGAUGGGUACUAGGUGUAGGAGGUAUCGACCCCUUCUGUGCCGGAGUUAACGCAAUAAGUACCCCGCCUGGGGAGUACGACCGCAAGGUUGAAACUCAAAGGAAUUGACGGGGGCCCCGCACAAGAAGGGC